CUACAGUGGUCCCAUGAGAUUUGCACCUAUAGUCCAGAGAAAAGACACACUGUAGUGUUUCAAAGGACUGGAGCCUCCCUACUGCAACAUGAAGGCACAUAGUUUUUAUGAGGUGUUAGGAGCUGAGCCCCUUCCUGACGGCAGCAAAUAAGCUGAAAGAUCUCUUUUGUCUGUGAGGACCAAAAUGAGAAGCAUGGACCUGGAGGAGAUUUGGGAAAGGACAUGAAGAAAUAGUACUGGGUCCCAAAUUUGGAUACCUGAGUCUCACCAAAAAAAGCAAUUCAGAGAUCAUUCAGUGACCUGCAAGCACCAGGACAAUGGGCUGGAAGGAAUAAGAGGACAGCAUACAAUUGCUCAGGUCUCUGCAGGUCCUGGGUAAUCACUCCAGUACGAGGGCCCAGGAAUGCUUCAUCAAGACAAGGACUCAAAAACAUGUCCACAAGAGAAAGGCCAAAGAAAAGUCCCCUUUUCCAAUGGGACACAAACCAAUUUUUUAUGCCUCUUAACUUGCUUUGCUACUCAGAGUUCUUCCCUGUAAGGCUUUGGUUUCUCAUGCAGAGAAAUUCGAGAUGAGUCCCUACUGUGGAACCUCCAGACAUGUCCAAACAUAUCUAAAUCCUCUAGCGACACUUUAUGCUGAAGUCUCUGAGCUCCUAAUACAUAAAAAUAAAAUUUGUUUUCCACCCGAAAAAUAUUUAACAUUGCGUCACUUGAAUUCUUCUGGUAUCCUUACUGAAAAAAUCAUCUUUUUAAGUGUCUCUCUCUUUCCGUCUAGCUGCUGAAUUUCUCAAGAGCAGAAUCUUGUUCUGAUUUUUCUUAUCAUUUUC
Molecule: long non-coding RNA, 827 nt
Filed under: Equus caballus (horse)
Lineage: Eukaryota; Metazoa; Chordata; Mammalia; Perissodactyla; Equidae
Description: lncRNA (ENSECAG00000052160.1)
Source: RNAcentral